UGGGGAAAUGCAGACUCCCCAUUAGGCGGCCACACCGUCCAAGCUCUGC
This 49-nucleotide non-coding RNA is filed under the name unclassified sequences. Its description in RNAcentral is "chromate-resist RNA". It matches the Rfam family "chrB-b RNA". The record is from RNAcentral.